AUAUUUUGAACCGCAUGGUUCAAAAGUGAAAGACGGUCUUGCUGUCACUUAUAGAUGGAUCCGCGCUGCAUUAGCUAGUUGGUAAGGUAACGGCUUACCAAGGCAACGAUGCAUAGCCGACCUGAGAGGGUGAUCGGCCACACUGGAACUGAGACACGGUCCAGACUCCUACGGGAGGCAGCAGUAGGGAAUCUUCCGCAAUGGGCGAAAGCCUGACGGAGCAACGCCGCGUGAGUGAUGAAGGUCUUCGGAUCGUAAAACUCUGUUAUUAGGGAAGAACAUAUGUGUAAGUAACUGUGCACAUCUUGACGGUACCUAAUCAGAAAGCCACGGCUAACUACGUGCCAGCAGCCGCGGUAAUACGUAGGUGGCAAGCGUUAUCCGGAA
This 387-nucleotide ribosomal RNA is filed under the name Staphylococcus aureus. Its description in RNAcentral is "bacterial SSU rRNA". It matches the Rfam family "Bacterial small subunit ribosomal RNA", at positions 173 to 550 of the family's 1533-position model. Lineage: Bacteria; Bacillati; Bacillota; Bacilli; Caryophanales; Staphylococcaceae. The record is from RNAcentral.